CCCUUAGAUGUUCUGGGCCGCACGCGUGCUACACUGAGUGGAUCAGCGGGUCAGGUUGCGCGAAAGUGUUUCCUAAUCUUUAAAUCCGCUCGUGAUGGGGAUUGACGGUUGCAAUUUUCCGUCAUGAACGAGGAAUACCUUGUAAGCGCGGGUCAUCAUCCCGCGCUUAAUACGUCCCUGCCCUUUGUACACACCGCCCGUCGCUCCUACCGAUUGAGUGGUCCGGUGAGGCUUUGGGAUCUGAGCGGAAAGAGCGUUUCGCUGUUUCUGCCCGGAAAACUCAGUCGAACCUUAUCAUUUAGAGGAAGGAGAAGUCGUAACA
This 322-nucleotide ribosomal RNA is filed under the name uncultured eukaryote. RNAcentral describes it as "partial 18S ribosomal RNA". It matches the Rfam family "Eukaryotic small subunit ribosomal RNA", at positions 1470 to 1796 of the family's 1831-position model. The record is from RNAcentral.